AUACGUAGGGGGCAAGCGUUAUCCGGAUUUACUGGGUGUAAAGGGUGUGUAGGCGGGGAUGCAAGUCAGAUAUGAAAACCAUGGGCUCAACCCAUGAUGUGCAUUUGAAACUGCGUUUCUUGAGUGUGGGAGAGGUAAGCGGAAUUCCUAGUGUAGCGGUGAAAUGCGUAGAUAUUAGGAGGAACACCAGUGGCGAAGGCGGCUUACUGGACCACAACUAACGCUGAGACACGAAAGCGUGGGGAGC
This 247-nucleotide ribosomal RNA is filed under the name uncultured bacterium. RNAcentral's name for it is "partial 16S ribosomal RNA". It matches the Rfam family "Bacterial small subunit ribosomal RNA", at positions 523 to 769 of the family's 1533-position model. The record is from RNAcentral.